RNAcentral lists this ribosomal RNA (460 nucleotides) under uncultured bacterium. RNAcentral's name for it is "partial 16S ribosomal RNA". It matches the Rfam family "Bacterial small subunit ribosomal RNA", at positions 338 to 795 of the family's 1533-position model. The record is from RNAcentral.
CCUACGGGAGGCAGCAGUGAGGAAUAUUGGUCAAUGGACGAGAGUCUGAACCAGCCAAGUAGCGUGAAGGAUGACUGCCCUAUGGGUUGUAAACUUCUUUUAUAUGGGAAUAAAACGUUCCACGUGUGGGAUUUUGUAUGUACCAUAUGAAUAAGGAUCGGCUAACUCCGUGCCAGCAGCCGCGGUAAUACGGAGGAUCCGAGCGUUAUCCGGAUUUAUUGGGUUUAAAGGGAGCGUAGGUGGAUUGUUAAGUCAGUUGUGAAAGUUCGCGGCUCAACCGUAAAAUUGCAGUUGAAACUGGCAGUCUUGAGUACAGUAGAGGUGGGCGGAAUUCGUGGUGUAGCGGUGAAAUGCUUAGAUAUCACGAAGAACUCCGAUUGCGAAGGCAGUUCACUGGACUGCAACUGACACUGAGGCUCGAAAGUGUGGGUAUCAAACAGGAUUAGAUACCCUUGUAGUC